GACGAACGCUGGCGGCGUGCUUAACACAUGCAAGUCGAACGGAAAGGCCCUGCUUUUGUGGGGUGCUCGAGUGGCGAACGGGUGAGUAACACGUGAGUAACCUGCCCUUGACUUUGGGAUAACUUCAGGAAACUGGGGCUAAUACCGGAUAGGAGCUCCUGCUGCAUGGUGGGGGUUGGAAAGUUUCGGCGGUUGGGGAUGGACUCGCGGGUUAUCAGCUUGUUGGUGGGGUAGUGGCUUACCAAGGGUUUGACGGGUAGGCGGCCUUGGAGAGUGACCGGCCACAUUGGGACUGCGAGAGGGCCCAGACUCCUACGGGAGGCAGCGGUGGGGAACAUUGCGCAAUGGGCGGAAGUCUGAUGCAGCAGCGCCGCGUGCGGGAUGACGGCCUUCGGGUUGUAAACCGCUUUGGCCUGUGACGAGGCGAGAGUGACGGUAAUGGGUAAAAAAGCACCGGCUAACUACGUG
RNAcentral lists this ribosomal RNA (468 nucleotides) under uncultured bacterium. RNAcentral's name for it is "partial 16S ribosomal RNA". It matches the Rfam family "Bacterial small subunit ribosomal RNA", at positions 28 to 507 of the family's 1533-position model. The record is from RNAcentral.